This is a long non-coding RNA of Lemur catta (Ring-tailed lemur), 292 nucleotides long. RefSeq lists it as uncharacterized. Lineage: Eukaryota; Metazoa; Chordata; Mammalia; Primates; Lemuridae. The transcript has 3 exons. The record is from RefSeq and is a predicted model, not a curated record.
GGGCAUCAGAAUGGGGGCAUCCCCUGUCCGCCUCGCACGCUAAGUUUCUUCCCGCUUACGCCCUGAGGACUCAGCCUGAAUAAAUGAUGGGUUGAAUGCAGAUGGAACUUUCCUACAAAAAUCUUUCUCCAACCUGGACAGAUCCCAGGAUGAUUUAUUCAGCAGCAAAAGGAGGGUAGAAACACAGCCAAGAGCUCCUCUUGAAUACCUGCUUCUUAACAGAAGUAAAAAAGAAAAAAAAAGUCUUUCUAGAAGCCAGUAGAAGACUUCCACAUUUAUCCCAUUGGCCAGA